GCCUGCACCGAUGAUUAGGAUCACAUAGAGCAUGGACUCCCCAGCCCCUCUCCAUUGCACCACACCAUCCCUUUAUCCUGUACCAAUGACAGAGGGCACCACCUUAUUUUGGGACUAUUCCCAAAAGAAGCAAUUGGGGUUGGUAGGAUGGCCUUUCGUCUCUACAGAUGGGAUAGACGGGUACAACCAAAGGCAAUGGGGGAUGGGGUCAAUUUAGGCUCUGAGUCAGGAAAAUUUCCCGAAUGAGGCGGUCCUGAGGUAGAAGAGUCACCUCCAAAGCAGCAGCUCAUCCCCCUGGAGGCACUGAAGAAGCAGACACUGGGUGCUGGUAGUUAAGAAAAAAAAAAGACAGAGCUUAUCCUACGUUCACCUUCUGGAUACCUCCUGGACUCCAACUGGGAACAACCACACCAGCAAAGGCUGAACACUCCCAGUCCUUCAACUGCUCCUCCUCCAAUCAGAUCACUUCCAGAUCUGGAGAAAAAUUUGCUGCCUGUGGCCCAGCCUCCUGGAUGGGCUGGAAUAACUGCAUGAGAGACAAGUAGCAAUCACAUGAGAAGAUGACGUGGCACAACAAUAAAGCAGUGAUAGCUACCAUUUCUAGAACUCUUUAAGGUUUUCAAACCACCUUCUAUGCCUCAUCUCACUUUAUCCUCACAAUGACCUUGGGAGGU
Molecule: long non-coding RNA, 674 nt
Organism: Vombatus ursinus (common wombat)
Lineage: Eukaryota; Metazoa; Chordata; Mammalia; Diprotodontia; Vombatidae
Exons: 4
Source: RefSeq, a predicted model, not a curated record